CUAUACAUGCAAGUCGAGCGGAACUAAGGAGCUUGCUCCUUAGUUUAGCGGCGGACGGGUGAGUAACACGUGGGCAACCUGCCCUACAGAUGGGGAUAACUCCGGGAAACCGGGGCUAAUACCGAAUAAUCAGUUUGUCCGCAUGGACGAACUCUGAAAGACGGUUUCGGCUGUCACUGUAGGAUGGGCCCGCGGCGCAUUAGCUAGUUGGUGGGGUAAUGGCCUACCAAGGCAACGAUGCGUAGCCGACCUGAGAGGGUGAUCGGCCACACUGGGACUGAGACACGGCCCAGACUCCUACGGGAGGCAGCAGUAGGGAAUCUUCCACAAUGGACGAAAGUCUGAUGGAGCAACGCCGCGUGAGCGAAGAAGGUUUUCGGAUCGUAAAGCUCUGUUGUCAGGGAAGAACAAGUACGGGAGUAACUGUCCGUACCAUGACGGUACCUUAUUAGAAAGUCACGGU
Molecule: ribosomal RNA, 463 nt
Rfam family: Bacterial small subunit ribosomal RNA